Molecule: transfer RNA, 72 nt
Organism: Ovis aries (sheep)
Lineage: Eukaryota; Metazoa; Chordata; Mammalia; Artiodactyla; Bovidae
Rfam family: tRNA
About the family: Transfer RNA (tRNA) molecules are approximately 80 nucleotides in length. Their secondary structure includes four short double-helical elements and three loops (D, anti-codon, and T loops).
Source: Rfam
UCCCUGGUGGCUCAGAUGGUAAAGCGUCUGCCUACAAUGUGGGAGACCCGGGUUCAAUACCUGGGUUGGGAA